AGAUGUACUACAUGGUUCAAAGCAGUAUGCAUUAAAGCAUAUUAUUGUUAAUGAUGAAGAAUCACUUGAUCUAGUACUGAAAGAAAUUUCAGUGAUGAAAUCGCUGAAGGGUCAUCCUAAUAUUGUCACACCAAAUGUGCAUACCUUCUUGGAUAAGGGUCGUACAAAGGAAGCACCCCUUGUUAUGGAAUAUUGUGGGUCAUCCUAAUAUUGUCACACUAAAUGCACAUACCUUCUUGGAUAUGGGUCGUACCAAGGAAUCUCUCCUUGUUAUGGAAUAUUGUGAGAAAUCCUUGGUCAGUGUCCUUGAGGACCAAGGAGCUGGCUUCUUUGAGGAGAAACAAGUCCUCUUAAUAUUCAGGGAUGUAUGC
Molecule: long non-coding RNA, 371 nt
Filed under: Nicotiana benthamiana
Lineage: Eukaryota; Viridiplantae; Streptophyta; Magnoliopsida; Solanales; Solanaceae
Description: long non-coding RNA (NBEN_LNC023109)
Source: RNAcentral